GGAUGCGAUCAUACCAGCACUAAAGCACCGGAUCCCAUCUGAACUCCGAAGUUAAGCGUGCUUGGGCGAGAGUAGUACUAGGAUGGGUGACCUCCUGGGAGGUCCUCGUGUUGCAUUUC
RNAcentral lists this ribosomal RNA (119 nucleotides) under Aegilops tauschii subsp. strangulata. Lineage: Eukaryota; Viridiplantae; Streptophyta; Magnoliopsida; Poales; Poaceae. The record is from RNAcentral.